GACGAACGCUGGCGGCGUGCUUAACACAUGCAAGUCGAACGGAAAGGCCCUGCUUUUGUGGGGUGCUCGAGUGGCGAACGGGUGAGUAACACGUGAGUAACCUGCCCUUGACUUUGGGGUAACUUCAGGAAACUGGGGCUAAUACCGGAUAGAAGCUCCUGCUGCAUGGUGGGGGUUGGAAAGUUUCGGCGGUUGGGGAUGGACUCGCGGCUUAUCCGCUUGUUGGUGGGGUAGUGGCUUACCAAGGCUUUGACGGGUAGCCGGCCUGAGAGGGUGACCGGCCACAUUGGGACUGAGAUACGGCCCAGACGCCUACGGGAGGCAGCAGUGGGGAAUAUGGCAGAAUGGGCGGAAGCCUGAUGCAGCAACGUCGCGUGCGGGAUGACGGCCUUCGGGUUGUAAACCGCUGUCGCCGGUGACGAAGCGUGAGUGACGGUAAUGGGUAAAGAAGCACCGGCUAACUACGUG
This 468-nucleotide ribosomal RNA is filed under the name uncultured bacterium. RNAcentral describes it as "partial 16S ribosomal RNA". It matches the Rfam family "Bacterial small subunit ribosomal RNA", at positions 28 to 507 of the family's 1533-position model. The record is from RNAcentral.